UUUGGAGGGCAAGUCUGGUGCCAGCACACGCGGUAAUUCCAGCUCCAAUAGCGUAUAUUAAAGUUGUUGCAGUUAAAAAACUCGUAGUUGAACCUUGGGCCCGGCUGGCCGGUCCGCCUCACCGCGUGUACUGGUCCGGCCGGGCCCUUCUUUCUGGGGAGCCGCAUGCCCUUCACUGGGGGUGUCGGGGAACCAGGACUUUUACUUUGAAAAAAUUAGAGUGUUCAAAGCAGGCCUUUGCUCGAAUACAUUAGCAUGGAAUAAUAGAAUAGGACGUGCGGUUCUAUUUUGUUGGUUUCUAGGACCGCCGUAAUGAUUAAUAGGGAUAGUCGGGGGCAUCAGUAUUCAAUUGUCAGAGGUGAAAUUCUUGGAUUUAUUGAAGACUAACUACUGCGAAAGCAUUUGCCAAGGAUGUUUUCAUUAAUCAGUGAACGAAAGUUAGGGGAUUGAAGGCGAUCAGAUACCGUUGUAGUUUUAACCAUAAACUAUGCCGACUAGGG
This 500-nucleotide ribosomal RNA is filed under the name uncultured fungus. Its description in RNAcentral is "SSU rRNA". It matches the Rfam family "Eukaryotic small subunit ribosomal RNA", at positions 547 to 1051 of the family's 1831-position model. Lineage: Eukaryota; Fungi. The record is from RNAcentral.